RNAcentral lists this ribosomal RNA (482 nucleotides) under Methanosarcina barkeri. Its description in RNAcentral is "bacterial SSU rRNA". It matches the Rfam family "Archaeal small subunit ribosomal RNA", at positions 867 to 1348 of the family's 1478-position model. Lineage: Archaea; Methanobacteriati; Methanobacteriota; Methanomicrobia; Methanosarcinales; Methanosarcinaceae. The record is from RNAcentral.
GGCGGGGGAGCACAACAACGGGUGGAGCCUGCGGUUUAAUUGGACUCAACGCCGGACAACUCACCGGGGACGACAGCAAUAUGUAGGUCAGGCUGAAGACCUUACCUGAAUCGCUGAGAGGAGGUGCAUGGCCGUCGCCAGUUCGUACUGUGAAGCAUCCUGUUAAGUCAGGCAACGAGCGAGACCCGUGCCCACUGUUACCAGCAUAUCCUCCGGGAUGAUGGGUACUCUGUGGGGACCGCCGGUGUUAAAUCGGAGGAAGGUGCGGGCCACGGUAGGUCAGUAUGCCCCGAAUUUCCCGGGCUACACGCGGGCUACAAUGAAUGGGACAAUGGGUCCCUCCCCUGAAAAGGGCUGGUAAUCUCACAAACCCAUCCUUAGUUCGGAUCGAGGGCUGUAACUCGCCCUCGUGAAGCUGGAAUCCGUAGUAAUCGCGUUUUAAUAUAGCGCGGUGAAUACGUUCCUGCUCCUUGCACACACCG